CCUACGGGAGGCUGCAGUGGGGAAUAUUGGACAAUGGGGGCAACCCUGAUCCAGCCAUGCCGCGUGUGUGAAGAAGGCCCUCGGGUUGUAAAGCACUUUCAGUGAGGAAGAACGCCUGGUGGUUAAUACCCAUCAGGAAAGACAUCACUCACAGAAGAAGCACCGGCUAACUCCGUGCCAGCAGCCGCGGUAAUACGGAGGGUGCGAGCGUUAAUCGGAAUUACUGGGCGUAAAGCGCGCGUAGGUGGCUUGAUAAGCCGGUUGUGAAAGCCCCGGGCUCAACCUGGGAACGGCAUCCGGAACUGUCAAGCUAGAGUGCAGGAGAGGAAGGUAGAAUUCCCGGGGCAGAGGUGAAAUGCGUAGAGAUCGGGAGGAAUACCAGUGGCGAAGGCGGCCUUCUGGACUGACACUGACACUGAGGUGCGAAAGCGUGGGUAGCAAACAGGAUUAGAGACCCGAGUAGUC
RNAcentral lists this ribosomal RNA (465 nucleotides) under Vreelandella stevensii. RNAcentral's name for it is "partial 16S ribosomal RNA". It matches the Rfam family "Bacterial small subunit ribosomal RNA", at positions 338 to 795 of the family's 1533-position model. Lineage: Bacteria; Pseudomonadati; Pseudomonadota; Gammaproteobacteria; Oceanospirillales; Halomonadaceae. The record is from RNAcentral.